Molecule: ribosomal RNA, 253 nt
Filed under: uncultured bacterium
Lineage: Bacteria
Description: partial 16S ribosomal RNA
Rfam family: Bacterial small subunit ribosomal RNA
Source: RNAcentral
UACGUAGGGCGCAAGCGUUGUCCGGAAUUAUUGGGCGUAAAGAGCUCGUAGGCGAUUUGUCGCGUCUGUCGUGAAAGCUUGGGGCUUAACCCCAAGUCUGCGGUGGAUACGGGCAGACUAGAGGCAGGUAGGGGAGAACGGAAUUCCCGGUGUAGCGGUGAAAUGCGCAGAUAUCAGGAGGAACACCGAUGGCGAAGGCAGGUCUCUGGGCAUUAACUGACGCUGAGGAGCGAAAGCAUGGGGAGCGAACAGG